CCUCGCGCCGCGGGGCGGCCUCUCAGAAGCGCCUCAGCCGCGCUGAGGGAACUGCCGGCGGGUUGGGCUUCUCCGCCUGCUUCCUACGCUGCCGUGAGCCUCCGUGAGCGAAUCGGGGACUGCUUGCCCAUCCCGCUGGAAAUCAAAAGGAAGCACUUAGUGAUUAUUCAUUGAUUCUGGUAGAACGUUGCACUUUUCAAGCAGAAAACACAAGAUACUCCCCAUUAACUGAAUCAUCAGUCCAUGGGCAAGGAGCUGAGGAGAUAAAAAACACUAAUCGUAUCUGGUAGCAGCACGUUAAAUGGAAGUGGAAUUUGUUUUCUCCCGUAAAGCAUUCCUGGUUAACCCCAACGUGCCGUCUCUGGCAAUUAGUGGUGUCACGCUUGUAAAGCACUGAUGAGUUCUGAUCCAGCGCAGUGCACAGUCACUGCCCUCAAAGCAAUCCUCAGCUCACACAGCUAAACACACGGCCUGUCUGACAGACAGAAAGGAAGUACAGCAUCAGCAAUGACUCUUCAUGCCCUCCAGCCAAGUGCACACGUGUGGCUUCCCGACUACAUGUGUCUCAGAGUCAUAUCGCUACCAGAAUUCUGCUCUGCUUUACACAGCUGUGCUGCUAGACACCUGGAAUGAAAGCGUCCUCGUCUCCGCAGUGUGCUCCCUCUGCUAGGGAAGAAUUUGGGUAUGAACAAUGAUAAACACCGUGUGCAAACAAUGAUUUUGGUCCCAAGUCCCAGCAAUGCCAUAAGGCAUGGACCAUUUACUUGGCACAUUCAGUACAACUAUCAAAGAAAUUCUUCAGCUCUUUAUAGUGCAUCAGCCUCACAUCAGUGAGCAUCUAGCACGCUGUGAUAAGAAAAAUAUGCCUAAUAAUACCCCAGGUGGUAGCACGGACAUUUGGCAUUGAGUUAACCACCUCUCUCACUAAGUCUUUCACCGUCUUUGCCCAGCUGUUUGUGAGAAGGUACCAAGGAAGAGGACAGCCUGGGGAUGUGGAGAGUCCGGCUCACACCAAGGUGGGGAACUGGAAAGAGGACGAGGAGACCAUGGCUAGAAAGGAUCUCUCAGCCAACUUCUGCUGCAGCUGAAAAUGUGAUAAGUCUCAAGGGACACUAAAUUUGUAAAAGUACUGUGGCAAUCCAUGACACAGAAAGGGUGAGUCAAAGCAAGUUGCACUGCUGUUACACACACAGUGUGGCAGCAGCCAAUGUGUUAAUCAGCAUGUGGCUGAGCUGCACAGACAGCACACAUACCCUGCUGAGUUACUGCCAGCAUAUGCUGCCAUGCCUAGGGGUGUCAAAGGGAGUGCAAAGGAGGCUGAGGUCACUGUGCUAUGGUUAGGGCAGGGAAGAGAUCAGAGGGCAAAGACACAAAGCCAUGUGCAAACAGGAUCUACAUCCUUCCAGUAUUCACAACAACAGCUUCUUGAGGAUUAUUAUUUAACUCUGUAUUUGAGACUGAGAUACGACACUUGUAUUACUUGAAAGCCCCUACUAAGCAAGAAGACAAAUUACAGGAUUUAGUUGUCCCUUUCAAUGAGAAAACAAUAAACACUUGGAUUAUUUCAUUCUCAUUUUUGCUCUUCAUUUCUAUUUGCAAGCUCUGGAAAUGCUUAAGAACCUUUCUGAUAACAUUGCUGGUCUAGCCAGAAGCUGGAAGUGCCUUUAAUGAAUACCCACAGGGUUCAGGUACUCAUGAGGAUGCUCCAGAUGAAUGUCUGCUCAGUAACAAAAAAACUGCCAGGAUGUCCAAGGAGGAGAAACAGGUUCCUGUUCAACUUUGUAUCUCACUUGCUGAGUGACGUUUAACCCAUCUGAGCCUCUUUACUCGUGUAUAGUAGAACUAGUUAUACUGACUGCAUGAGUACGUGCUGCAUGAGACCACAUAAAGGUCUGUAAAAACUGCUUUGAGAGUCAUCUGGGAGAAGUGUUACUAUGAUGAGUACAUGAAAAAUUAUCAUUUGGAAGACGUGAAAUCAUCACCUAAAUAUGUGCUUUCUAGUUCUCUGAAACAAAAGACCUUUGAGAUUCAAAAGUGAAGAGUUCAAAAGAUGAACUUCAUCUUCCUAAAACGCUGCGAAAUGUGCAUUUUGCAUUUGAAGAUCUAAAAGCACAUUACAAAUUGUUGAAACUCUUGAACAACCUGCUCUACAUCACUCAAAAAUUACAUUUAAGGGUUUGGACUAGAAUCACAGAAUUCUUGAUUUUACUUCACAUCCCGUAUAUCUCAACUAGGGGAGAAUUUAAUUUCCUCAAUUGUAUAAAGUCUCCCAUCUUUCAAAGACGAUGGAGCUCCAGGAAUAAUGCUGGAGCUGUGCCAGAAGAUGGUGGCAAGUAGGAGAAUUGUGCCUCUCAUUGUUUGGAUAAAGGUCGUAAUUCAUGCCAAGCUGGUCUAAAAAAAUCUGCAUCAAGUGUGAUAUAUUGAUGGAGGAGGAGGGACUGGUUUAUCUCACAGCUUCAAGAAGGAAUUUUCUGAGUUGUUGAUAGCCUGUUCUAAAAAGCCACGUACCCUUUUCCAUACAUGCAACCAACAUAUCUGUGCUUCAUGGCCAAUGGGAAUAACAAUGGCAAACAGCAGGUGAUUUUAGAGUCUCCAAAACAGGACCAGAUGUGGGUCUGCAAAGGAGCUUACAAGCUUCUGAAGUAGAUCUACAUAAAUAACGUUCCCAGGCAUUUGUGUGGGCUUCAGUGAAUGCGCUCUGGACUUGAUGUGUUCACUCGUGGAGGCGAGGCUUACUCAGUAUGCUGGCUGAGGACAAAAUACAUCAGACACUUCGGAAAGGAAUUCCACCAGCAAAGCAGCAACACAAGAGGGUGUUUUGUGGAGGAUUUUCAAAUGGCUGUUUCUGUGAACAGAGACUCACUCCCUCAAAUGUCAACGUUUUAGAUGCAAGGAAAAUACUAAGGACAACUCAAUUUUGGAGAAAAGACUUAAAUUUUAGUUGUGUGUAAGUACAAAAUAAAAACAUUUCAAAGUGAAGAAUCAUACCAACAUAGUUCUGAUUAAAUAAUCCACUACUAAGAGCGUUGAAGCGACACCUUUUGGCAUAUGUGUUUUCUUGUGUCUUCCACUGUAACUACCAACAAAAAAGUUGUCAGAUUUUUUUACAAGUUUUGUGUACGAAUUAAAUCAAUUAAUUGCUGUACUGAUCUAAUAUAAAUGGACACAUACAUUCUAUGCAGAAAAAAAGAUCUAAUCCUUUUAAAAUCCUGUUAUAAUCUGUGUAAUAUCUUGUAGCAGCAAGUACCAUGCACCAAUUAUACUUUGAAAGUACUUUCUUUAAUAAACUGUACAUGCUCUACCAGGCAGCUUAACUUAGAGUGCUUUGUUCUCUCAUAGGAGCAAUCAAUUUUACUUUUUCCAUAUAAU
Molecule: long non-coding RNA, 3369 nt
Filed under: Gallus gallus (chicken)
Lineage: Eukaryota; Metazoa; Chordata; Aves; Galliformes; Phasianidae
Description: long non-coding RNA NONGGAT009018
Source: RNAcentral